This 347-nucleotide ribosomal RNA is filed under the name uncultured bacterium. RNAcentral's name for it is "partial 16S ribosomal RNA". It matches the Rfam family "Bacterial small subunit ribosomal RNA", at positions 338 to 682 of the family's 1533-position model. The record is from RNAcentral.
CCUACGGGGUGCAGCAGUGAGGAAUAUUGGUCAAUGGACGCAAGUCUGAACCAGCCAUGCCGCGUGCAGGAAGACGGCUCUAUGAGUUGUAAACUGCUUUUGUACGAGGGUAAACGCAGAUACGCGUAUCUGUCUGAAAGUAUCGUACGAAUAAGGAUCGGCUAACUCCGUGCCAGCAGCCGCGGUAAUACGGAGGAUUCAAGCGUUAUCCGGAUUUAUUGGGUUUAACGGGUGCGUAGGCGGUCGGAUAAGUUAGAGGUGAAAUCCCGAGGCUCACCUUCGGAAUUGCCUCUGAUACGGUUCGGCUAGAGAGUAGUUGCGGUAGGCUGAAUGUAUUGUGUAGCGGU